UACGUAGGGGGCAAGCGUUGUCCGGAUUCAUUGGGCGUAAAGAGCGUGUAGGCGGCCAGGUAGGUCGGUUGUGAAAACUGGAGGCUCAACCUUCAGAGGUCGACCGAAACCAUCUGGCUAGAGUCCGGGAGAGGAGAGUGGAAUUCCUGGUGUAGCGGUGAAAUGCGCAGAUAUCAGGAGGAACACCAGUGGCGAAGGCGACUAUCUGGGCUGCAACUGACGCUGAGGCGCGAAGGCUAGGGUAGCAAACAGG
This 253-nucleotide ribosomal RNA is filed under the name uncultured bacterium. Its description in RNAcentral is "partial 16S ribosomal RNA". It matches the Rfam family "Bacterial small subunit ribosomal RNA", at positions 524 to 776 of the family's 1533-position model. The record is from RNAcentral.